GUGGGGAAUAUUGGACAAUGGGGGGAACCCUGAUCCAGCCAUGCCGCGUGUGUGAAGAAGGCCUUUUGGUUGUAAAGCACUUUAAGCGAGGAGGAGGCUACCGAGAUUAAUACUCUUGGAUAGUGGACGUUACUCGCAGAAUAAGCACCGGCUAACUCUAUGCCAGCAGCCGCGGUAAUACAGAGGGUGCAAGCGUUAAUCGGAUUUACUGGGCGUAAAGCGCGCGUAGGUGGCCAAUUAAGUCAAAUGUGAAAUCCCCGAGCUUAACUUGGGAAUUGCAUUCGAUACUGGUUGGCUAGAGUAUGGGAGAGGAUGGUAGAAUUCCAGGUGUAGCGGUGAAAUGCGUAGAGAUCUGGAGGAAUACCGAUGGCGAAGGCAGCCAUCUGGCCUAAUACUGACACUGAGGUGCGAAAGCAUGGGGAGCAAACAGGAUUAGAUACCCUGGUAGUCC
This 451-nucleotide ribosomal RNA is filed under the name uncultured bacterium. RNAcentral describes it as "partial 16S ribosomal RNA". It matches the Rfam family "Bacterial small subunit ribosomal RNA", at positions 354 to 796 of the family's 1533-position model. The record is from RNAcentral.